GUAAGUCAAUGAAUCAGUCACAUCAUUUCAGCACACUGAAGAGUGGACCUAGCAGAAAAGAAUUCUGACAAGCUGAGCUUCAAGAACACCUGCAUAAGAACUCUGCUCACAAAUGAAAAUAAGAAAGAAGUCUGGGAAACUGCCAGCUCCUUGCAGAAAGACUGAAACGUGAUCGGCAGAGAAGGGUGUUGGUGUCGACAUUUGAGGAUGCAGUCAAGUCAAUGGAGUUCUGUUGUAGUGGUUGCUUCAGUGAACAUUCAACGCUGUCGGCCUUAACACCGAAGAUAGCAACCUAACCAUCACAUGAUGUUUCUCCCUCACCCUGCCAAGCUUUAUAAAAAGGUCACAAUCAACAUUCAUUGCUGUCGGUGGGUUUAACUAU
This 382-nucleotide long non-coding RNA is filed under the name Serinus canaria (Common canary). Its description in RNAcentral is "lncRNA (ENSSCAG00000011755.1)". The record is from RNAcentral. Lineage: Eukaryota; Metazoa; Chordata; Aves; Passeriformes; Fringillidae.